AGCAGCCGCGGUAAUUCCAGCCCCAAUAGCGUAUAUUAAAGUUGUUGCAGUUAAAAAGACUCGUAGUUGAACUUCGGGGUCUACCCAUUGGUCAGGCUUAAUUGUCUGCACUGGUGAGAUGGAUCUCUACCUUCUGAGGAACUUUCAUGCCAUUUAUUUGGUGUGAUGGGAAAUCAAGGACUGUUACUUUGAAAAAAUUAGAGUGUUUAAAGCAGACUAUCGUCUGAAUACAUUAGCAUGGAAUAAUGAAAUAGGACGGACUGAUUCUAUUUCGUGGUUCUAGGAUCACCGUAAUGAUUAAUAGGGAUAGUUGGGGGCAUUAGUAUUCAAUUGUCAGAGGUGAAAUUCUUGGAUUUAAUUGAAGACUAAACUACUGUCGAAAGCAUUUGCCAAGGAUGUUUUCAUUAAUCAAGAACGAAAGUUAGGGGAUCGAAGACGAUCAGAUACCGUCGUAGUCUUAACCAUAAACUAUGCCGACUAGGGAUCGGACGAAGUUAAUUUUAUAAAUGACGCG
RNAcentral lists this ribosomal RNA (514 nucleotides) under uncultured Diversisporaceae. Its description in RNAcentral is "SSU rRNA". It matches the Rfam family "Eukaryotic small subunit ribosomal RNA", at positions 569 to 1078 of the family's 1831-position model. The record is from RNAcentral. Lineage: Eukaryota; Fungi; Glomeromycota; Glomeromycetes; Diversisporales.